RNAcentral lists this ribosomal RNA (490 nucleotides) under uncultured bacterium. RNAcentral describes it as "bacterial SSU rRNA". It matches the Rfam family "Bacterial small subunit ribosomal RNA", at positions 335 to 799 of the family's 1533-position model. The record is from RNAcentral.
ACUCCUACGGGAGGCAGCAGUGGGGAAUAUUGCACAAUGGGCGCAAGCCUGAUGCAGCCAUGCCGCGUGUGUGAAGAAGGCCUUCGGGUUGUAAAGCACUUUCAGUCGUGAGGAAGGUAGUGUAGUUAAUAGCUGCAUUAUUUGACGUUAGCGACAGAAGAAGACAACCGGCUAACCGUCCGUGCCAAGCCAGCCGCCGGCUAAUCACGGGAGGGUGACGAGGCGGUUAAUCGGAAUUAUACGAUUGGGGCGUAAAGCGCAUGCAGGUGGUUUGUUAAGUCAGAUGUGAAAGCCCGGGGCUCAACCUCGGAAUUGCAUUUGAAACUGGCAGACUAGAGUACUGUAGAGGGGGGUAGAAUUUCAGGUGUAGCGGUGAAAUGCGUAGAGAUCUGAAGGAAUACCGGUGGCGAAGGCGGCCCCCUGGACAGAUACUGACACUCAGAUGCGAAAGCGUGGGAGCAAACAGGAUUAGAUACCCUGGUAGACAUCA